Octodon degus (degu) is the source of this 987-nucleotide RNA transcript. It is a transcript of the gene named protein NipSnap homolog 3A pseudogene, with no coding region annotated. The transcript is spliced from 2 exons. The record is from RefSeq and is a predicted model, not a curated record. Lineage: Eukaryota; Metazoa; Chordata; Mammalia; Rodentia; Octodontidae.
AUGAAGGACGCGCCCGGCGCGCAGCGCCCGCACAGCGCCGCGGACCGGGCCGCCGCGCCAGAGCAAGCCGGGAACCAAGCCCGGCCCCACCGCACCCUGCGCCCAGAGCCUCCCGCAGGGGCGGAGCCUGCCGCGCUCUGGGCGCUCUGGGCGCGCCGUGCUCGCCUUCCGCUGCUGCCUGAGCUGGGCGCUGGCCCGAGGGCGCGCGCGUCUCAGGUGUGCUCAUCUUUUGCUUCAGGGCCCAGACAACAGCAUGAAACGCUGUAUGCAUUUUGAACCUGUUAUCUUACACCUUCAAAAAUGAAUGAGUUCCUGGAAAAUUUUAAGAAAAAUCUUCAUCUUCGGACAGUUCAUUCUGAAUUGGUUGGAUACUGGAGUGUAGAAUUUGGAGGCAGAAUGAACAAAGUAUUUCAUAUUUGGAAAUAUGAUAAUUUUGCUCAUCGAACUGCAGUCCAGAAAGCAUUGGCCAAAGAUAAAGAAUGGCAAGAACAAUUCCUUAUUCCAAAUUUGGUUCACAUUGAUAAACAAGAGAGUGAGAUUACUUAUCUGGUCCCAUGGUGCAAAAUAGAACAGCCUGCAAAAGAAGGAGUCUAUGAACUGGCUACCUUUCAGAUGAAACCUGGUGGUCCGGCUCUGUGGGGGGAUGCAUUUAAAAGGGCAGUUCAUACCCAUGUCAAUCGAGGCUACACAAAGCUAGUUGGUGUUUGCCACACAGAAUAUGGAGCACUCAACAGAGGGCUUUAUGGCUAAGAGUUUGCCUUGAGUCCCAGAGAAGCAUGGGGACUUGGACUUCUAAGCAGUGCUGGGACUGUUGAGGGAGGCCUUUAAUGCAUUUUCUGCUGUAUGUGGGAUACUUGUAUCAUGCUAGGUAGAUGAUAACUUUGAAUUUAUAUGAAGAUUAACUAUCACUGAAGGGGAUGUGUUUUGAUAUCAAGCUAACAAAAGAUGAAAUAUGACAGUUAAGCUUCAUUGACAGUUUGAUUGGCU